This 430-nucleotide ribosomal RNA is filed under the name uncultured bacterium. RNAcentral's name for it is "partial 16S ribosomal RNA". It matches the Rfam family "Bacterial small subunit ribosomal RNA", at positions 29 to 507 of the family's 1533-position model. The record is from RNAcentral.
AACGAACGCUGGCGGCAGGCCUAACACAUGCAAGUCGAACGCCCCGCCAGGGGAGUGGCAGACGGGUGAGUAACACGUGGGAACCUUCCCUAUAGUACGGAAUAGCCCAGGGACACUUGGAGUAAUACCGUAUACGCCCGAAAGGGGAAAGAAUUUCGCUAUAGGAUGGGCCCGCGUAGGAUUAGCUAGUUGGUGAGGUAAUGGCUCACCAAGGCGACGAUCCUUAGCUGGUUUGAGAGAACGACCAGCCACACUGGGACUGAGACACGGCCCAGACUCCUACGGGAGGCAGCAGUGGGGAAUAUUGGACAAUGGGCGCAAGCCUGAUCCAGCCAUGCCGCGUGAGUGAUGAAGGCCUUAGGGUUGUAAAGCUCUUUUGGCGGGGACGAUAAUGACGGUACCCGCAGAAUAAGUCCCGGCUAACUUCGUG